GAGUGGCGGACAGGUGAGUAACGCGUGGGUAACCUGCCUCAUACAGGGGGAUAACAGUUGGAAACGACUGCUAAUACCGCAUAAGCGCACAGUACUGCAUGGUACAGUGUGAAAAACUCCGGUGGUAUGAGAUGGACCCGCGUCUGAUUAGCUAGUUGGUGGGGCAACGGCCUACCAAGGCGACGAUCAGUAGCCGACCUGAGAGGGUGACCGGCCACAUUGGGACUGAGACACGGCCCAAACUCCUACGGGAGGCAGCAGUGGGGAAUAUUGCACAAUGGGGGAAACCCUGAUGCAGCGACGCCGCGUGAACGAAGAAGUAUUUCGGUAUGUAAAGUUCUAUCAGCAGGGAAGAUAAUGACGGUACCUGACUAAGAAGCACCGGCUAAAUACGUGCCAGCAGCCGCGGUAAUACGUAUGGUGCAAGCGUUAUCCGGAUUUACUGGGUGUAAAGGGAGCGCAGGCGGUGCGGCAAGUCUGAUGUGAAAGCCCGGGGCUCAACCCCGGUACUGCAUUGGAAACUGUCGUACUAGAGUGUCGGAGGGGUAAGUGGAAUUCCUAGUGUAGCGGUGAAACGCGUAGAUAUUAGGAGGAACACCAGUGGCGAAGGCGGCUUACUGGACGAUAACUGACGCUGAGGCUCGAAAGCGUGGGGAGCAAACAGGAUUAGAUACCCUGGUAGUCCACGCCGUAAA
This 695-nucleotide ribosomal RNA is filed under the name uncultured bacterium. Its description in RNAcentral is "bacterial SSU rRNA". It matches the Rfam family "Bacterial small subunit ribosomal RNA", at positions 93 to 806 of the family's 1533-position model. The record is from RNAcentral.